RNAcentral lists this ribosomal RNA (266 nucleotides) under Pseudomonas sp. RNAcentral's name for it is "partial 16S ribosomal RNA". It matches the Rfam family "Bacterial small subunit ribosomal RNA", at positions 1264 to 1533 of the family's 1533-position model. Lineage: Bacteria; Pseudomonadati; Pseudomonadota; Gammaproteobacteria; Pseudomonadales; Pseudomonadaceae. The record is from RNAcentral.
GAUGCCAAUCCCAAAAAGCCGUUCUCAGUUCGGAUUGGAGUCUGCAACUCGACUCUAUGAAGCUGGAAUCGCUAGUAAUCGCGUAUCAGCUAUGACGCGGUGAAUACGUUCCCGGACCUUGUACACACCGCCCGUCAAGCCAUGGGAGUCGGGGAGACCUGAAGCAGUAGGUUAAAGACACUGUUAGGGUAAAAUCGGCGACUGGGGCUAAGUCGUAACAAGGUAGCCGUACCGGAAGGUGCGGCUGGAACACCUCCUUUCUGGAG